GGCGGCUACUGACCUGAGGCUAUGGGUUAUGCUGGUUCUUCAUUGCCCCUCCCUCACAGGAGGCCUGGGAAGGAAAGGUUUCACUUUCGAAGGAUGAGAUGGCUGAACAGAAAGGCCCUGUUGGUCACUUGCAAUCAGACUGGGCCUAGUGGUUGCCACAGUGACUGACUGGAGGGGGUAUCAGGGGUGUGGGGACCUCUGGGAAGAAGACUGGGAACCUGAAGGCCCAAGAGUGAUCAGUGAGGAACCAACCAUGACUUGGUUUCAGAGUCCACUGGUUUGGAGCAGAAAGGAAAAUUAUGGCACCAGCUGGGAGCUACAAAUGCCCUUGGGGGUCCCAGUUGCUGCUGGAGUCCUGGCCCUCCUGGCCCUCCUGGCAUUGGCUUAUUAUUGUCUCAAAGAGGCCUGGAAGUCCAGAUGGAGGCUUUGCCAUGUGGGCUGGAGGUGUCUUCAAACUGGAAAGAGCCUACAGCUUGUCUUCAUCCACAGCCCGGAUCAGGGCCAGCUGGGGACCCUCUCUUCAGAGCCCCACGGCCCUCUGCUGCCUUCCCCACUGUCUCUUUGAAGGGUCUAAUGGCACCAGGACAGCACCUCAGCUUUGGGUCUGAAGAUCCCCAUGUUUCAGAGGAGGUUAUGGUAUCUGCCAAGCACCCUGUCUGUAACAACUGUCAGUGUGGAUGAAGGAUUGAAUCCAUGGGAGGAGGGUAAUAUGGGGUGAGGGGAGGUCCUUGUCCCAUGGGUGUCAGACGUGAGAGAGGAGACACUAGCAGAAGUGUCUGUCUUCUCCGGUUUAUGGCAUCAAAGGUUUCUCUCCCCAAAGUCACCCUCAAAGAGCCAAGGUUCUGGUUACUCCAUCUUAGCAAUAGCUGACUCCCCUGGGGGUGAUACCAUGACCCAAAGUGGGGGCCAUGGGCCAGAAGCAAAAGCCCAAGGGCCUCCAGAGUGCCCAAGAAUGUCUCAGCAGGCAGAGGGAAGCUACAUCUGACCUCCACUCCCAAAAUCUCUGUCAUUGCUCAAGCGGUUCUCUUUAGUCUAAUGUCCAGGCUAGCUCCUUCCUGAGACCACAGCAAGGGCCACUGCAACCUCACCCUUUGUAGCUCAAGCUCUCAGACCAAGCACCAGAGAAGUCAGGGCCUACUGAAGCAUAUCAGGUACUAAGUGAGUACUAAGCCCAUGGAACUUUCUGGGUGAGGACACUGCUGAAGGCCUACUCCCCUGUGCCCACUAUGACUUGGACUCCUGAGAUCACCCAGGACUGCUUGAUUAUUUUUUCCUGGGCUUCCCUGGGUUGGGGAGGGUGAAUUAGUAAUGGUAGGUUAGUUAGGCUAUGCAGAGUAGAAUCUGAAAGUGAUUCCUGCCCCUGGAGAUGCACAGGCUCACGGGCCAGUUCUCUGGAGUGUAGAUGUAACCCUGCACACACCAACACUCUUCUCUGAUUAGGCCUCACUAUGUGGAGAUGGUGGAGAAAUUGGUGUAGAUUAAUUAUAGUCUCCAAUUAAUUAAAUCGUCUUUGGGUUAAGUAAGAGAUGGAGCCGGGAACACUGGUGCAUGCCUGUGGUCUAAGCUAAGUGUGGCAGGUGGGGGCAGCAGGAUGACUUGAGUCCAAGACAUCAAGGUCAGCCUGGAUAACAAAGCACAGCCCUGCCUCAACUCUCAGUGGGGUCUGCCAUGUAGCUCAGGCUGGCCUGGAACUUGUGAUGUAGCCCCAGCUGGCCUCAUCUGAGUGCCUCAUAUCUUAACUCUCUGAGUAUUAGGACUAUGGGCACAGAGUUUGAAACCUCGAUUCUCAAAGGUGGUGGUGGUGAUGCGCCUGGAUGGCCUGAUUUGGUCAGAGAGCUGUCUGGAGUCUAGAUUCUGCCCCUAGCUGCACAGGAGGGGAUGAGCUACCAGCCUUAGGGGCUGCCACCUUGAUUGCAGCUAUGUGUGACCCUAGGCAAAGGGCAGUAUUCAGCCCUCCCAGAAUCCUCGUUCAUCAAAAGCGUGAGCUGAUAAAUGGGAGGUUUUGGCAGCCGAUCUUGGUCAUUUUUUUCCAAACCAGUAGCGUGUGCUGGACAGGACAGGCUGGUGGGCUUGAGGACAGUGAGGUGUGAACAGGGGACCGGUGUGGGCAGGGCACAAGUGUCCAGGGCUGCAGGAGAGCCUGCCCAGCCUCUACUACCCUCCUUUUCCACAGGGGCCUCUGCAAUGGUCAGGUAGGUCACUGAGUCUAUUAGAACCCUCCAGAACAAAAACAGAAGAUUGGGCUCCCCGGCCUUCUGGAUAUCUUCUGGCCUUCCAGAGCAAGAGGCUGUAGGCUGGGGCAAGUGGAGGAAGGCCUAAAGGCUUGUGGUAUCCCAAGUGGCCCUGGAGACAUCCUUAAGUCUAUCUCUGGUGUCUGGUCCUUAAAUCGGGUAAUCGUACCUGACACACACAGCCAGGGAGGGGACUCCAUGGCAGGCACUGUGGUGUCUACACUGGCAGGUUGAGGAGGUGCCUGGAGGCACGAGUGGGUGUGGAAGCUGCUCCUGUCACAGGGUGAGUAGCUGGUCCCCAGUUGAGUUGGAAGCAGAGAAAUGGGGAUGUAUAUAUAUUAAAUCCCACUGGUGCUGGGUGGUGGUGGCACACAUCUUUAACCCCAGCACU
Long non-coding RNA from Arvicanthis niloticus (Nile rat), 2622 nucleotides. RefSeq lists it as uncharacterized. Lineage: Eukaryota; Metazoa; Chordata; Mammalia; Rodentia; Muridae. The record is from RefSeq and is a predicted model, not a curated record.